UCUGGUGUCAAACUUUAAAAAAAAGGCCAUGAACGUUUAUUGGAAAUAGACCUACAAUAUUGCUUGCACGUACGUUCAAAACUGGCGACGCUUUUAAAGUUCAACAACAACAAAAAAAAGCAGUGAGGUUCUGGGGUCCGCCUUGCGCAAACCCAUCCAAAAUUAUCACACUAUUCUACCUACGAUACAGGCCCACAAGAUUAAUACGAGGAAAGACAUAAUUUAUAAUGAAACGAUCGAAAGUUGAGGAGUUGCUUAAACAAAUCGUAGAAUCACCUGAAAAAUUUGAUGAUUACAUGCCAAAGCUGAUCACGGCAGUGAACGAGUUCGACGAGGAAGAAGAUGUGAACAAAGAAAACCUGUACUUCAUAGAAAAAGUGGUUGAAAGCCAUGUUGUAAUUUUGUUUUUUUAAGUGCAUUUGGAAGAAAAUAAAUGUUUUGUUGAAUUGAAUUGAAUUGAAUUGUAAAAACAGCUAAGGAAUUGUUCGUUGUGAAAAAUAAACAUAAUUUGAAUUACAUACUAUUUAUUAUUGUUAUUAGUUGAGGUCACCGUUUAAGUGGUUUGAUUCAGUAAACGCCAUUUUAAUAAUUAUCUGUCAUUGCAAUUAUGUACUGGAAUUUGUGAAGCAUUCCUAAUUUACGAACAGAUCUGAAUUUGAAAUCCAAAUUAAUUUAUUUUAAAAUCGAGUAGUUUCGUAGGCAAAUUACGGGAUGACAGUAUUCAAUUUUUUUAAACACGCGAUUAUACAUAAGCAUUAUUUUUUUAACACCCUAAGUUGGCGAAGACGACUGCCCAUGUAUACAUCUGACAGCUAAUAGUUAAAAAAAAAUAGUAUAGUUUUAACUACAUGUGUUUUUUUUUAUCACGAAACAUAGUAAAGGUAAAAAAUCCGGAGUCAUGGCCAAACUUGCGGUUGCUUUGGCAAAAAGGAAGAUGACGAGGUAUUAUCGCAGUAUAGUUUAUACUCUGCGAGAACGAAACAUUUUAAACUGGAAGGACCAAAGUGAGGAAGCCAUUAUGAUAAUUGAAACAUUUGUUGAACCACCGGAAAUAAGAAUGUCUAAACGAGAUGUGGAUUGGUACGGAAAAGACCAUCCAGAAAAAAGUAAUUCGGCUGAUUUAAUUAUCGACUGUGCAGAUGAAAUGGUAAAAGCGUUUCAGAAAUACAUAAUCUACAAUGAAACGAUCGGAGGUUGAGGAGUUGGUUAAAAAAAUCCAGGAAUCACCUGAAAAUAUUGAUUCUUAUAUAAAGAUGCUGAUUACGGCAGUGAACGAAUUCGACGAGGAAGAAGCCGUGAACGAAAAAAACCUGAACAUAAUAGCAGACGUGGUUGAAGACCAUGUUGUACCAGCAGCUAGGGAAUGUAAGGGUAAAAAGUCCGGAGUUGUGUCUAAACUUGCGGUUGCUUUGGCAAAAAGAAAGAUGACGAGGUACUAUCGCAGCAUAAAUGAUAUUCUGCGAGAACGAAGCAU
Anneissia japonica is the source of this 1474-nucleotide long non-coding RNA. RefSeq lists it as uncharacterized. The record is from RefSeq and is a predicted model, not a curated record. Lineage: Eukaryota; Metazoa; Echinodermata; Crinoidea; Comatulida; Comatulidae. The transcript has 5 exons.